GGCGGGCGGGUGAGGAAUGCCUAGGAAUCUCCUUGAUCUUGGGGGAUAACGUGCGGAAACUGGCGCUAAUACUGCAUACGUCCCAGGGUGAAAGUGGGGGAUCUUCGGGCCUCACGCUAUCGGAUGAGCCCAGGUCGGAUUAGCUAGUUGGCGGGGUAAAGGCCCACCAAGGCGACGAUCCGUAGCUGGUCUGAGAGGAUGAUCAGCCACACUGGAAGUGAGACACGGUCCAGACUCCUACGGGAGGCAGCAGUGGGGAAUAUUGGACAAUGGGCGCAAGCCUGAUCCAGCCAUGCCGCGUGUGUGAAGAAGGCCUUCGGGUUGUAAAGCCCUUUUAGUGGGGAGGAAGGCCAGUUGGUUAAUACCCGGUUGGUUUGACGUUACCCACAGAAUAAGCACCGGCUAACUUCGUGCCAGCAGCCGCGGUAAUACGAGGUGCAAGCUCUAAUCGAUUACUGGGCGUAAGCGCGCGUAGGUGGUUAGUCAAGUCGGAUGUGAAAUCCCCGGGCUCAACCUGGGAACUGCAUCCGAGAACUGGGCUUAGAGUCUGAAGGUUGGAAUUCCUGUGGUCAGCGCGACUGCGUAGAAUCGGAGGAACACCGGUGGCGAAGGCGCCACCUGGACCAACACUGACACUGAGGUGCGAUAGCUGGGGAGCAAACAGAUUACUCCCGGUAGUCCACGCCCUAAACGAUGUCAACUGGAAGUUGGGAGCCUUUUGGCCUGCCUUCCCGAACUUACGCCAUUAGUCUCCCCCCCGGGGAAUACCGGCCCCAGGUUUGAACUCCAAUGAAUUUACCGGGGCCCCCACCAACCGUGGAACUUUUGGGUUAAUUCCAAGCCACGCGAAAAACCCUACCUGGGCCUCACCUUGUCAAAACUUUUCACAAAUGGUAUGGUGGCCUCCGGGACCCUGAACCCAGGGCUUCCUG
RNAcentral lists this ribosomal RNA (932 nucleotides) under Pseudomonas aeruginosa. RNAcentral's name for it is "bacterial SSU rRNA". It matches the Rfam family "Bacterial small subunit ribosomal RNA", at positions 97 to 1047 of the family's 1533-position model. The record is from RNAcentral. Lineage: Bacteria; Pseudomonadati; Pseudomonadota; Gammaproteobacteria; Pseudomonadales; Pseudomonadaceae.